GACGAACGCUGGCGGCGUGCUUAACACAUGCAAGUCGAACGGAAAGGCCCUGCUUUUGUGGGGUGCUCGAGUGGCGAACGGGUGAGUAACACGUGAGUAACCUGCCCUUGACUUUGGGAUAACUUCAGGAAACUGGGGCUAAUACCGGAUAGGAGCUCCUGCUGCAUGGUGGGGGUUGGAAAGUUUCGGCGGUUGGGGAUGGACUCGCGGCUUAUCAGCUUGUUGGUGGGGUAGUGGCUUACCAAGGCUUUGACGGGUAGCCGGCCUGAGAGGGUGACCGGCCACAUUGGGACUGAGAUGCGGCCCAGACGCCUACGGGAGGCAGCAGUGGGGAAUAUUGCACAAUGGGCGGAAGCCUGAUGCAGCAACGCCGCGUGCGGGAUGACGGCCUUCGGGUUGUAAACCGCUUUCGCCUGUGACGAAGCGUGAGUGACGGUAAUGGGUAAAGAAGCACCGGCUAACUACGUG
RNAcentral lists this ribosomal RNA (468 nucleotides) under uncultured bacterium. RNAcentral describes it as "partial 16S ribosomal RNA". It matches the Rfam family "Bacterial small subunit ribosomal RNA", at positions 28 to 507 of the family's 1533-position model. The record is from RNAcentral.